AGUUUCAACUUCGUGGACCUUAGUAACUUGGUGCGCCUUUAGCAACCUUUCAUGCCUUGUUGUUAUGAUUAUUUUACUUCCGGGAUAAAACCGAUCUUUCAUCCGUAGUACUGCAUCUAAUUGGUCCUUAUGGUCUACAUCGUCAAGAACAAGAAGAACCCUUCUAGAGCUUAUGGCUCUUACAAUCUUACUUAUUCCUUCACUGACGUUGUGCACUUUCUCCUUCUUCCCCUUCAAAAUAUCAUAAAGAAGUUGCAUUUGCAUUUGAACUAACCCGUUCGGUUGACUUGCCGUUUCUCUGAUAUUUUCAACAAAGCUGCUCCCUUCAAAACU
RNAcentral lists this small RNA (333 nucleotides) under Malus domestica (apple). Its description in RNAcentral is "sRNA MD02G0221200". The record is from RNAcentral. Lineage: Eukaryota; Viridiplantae; Streptophyta; Magnoliopsida; Rosales; Rosaceae.